UUUUAUUUAUAUGGUGUCCUAGUUUAAUUGAUAUGUAUUUUUUAUAUUUUGAUUGGAAAUUGGUAAAAAAUUAACAGAAAGAGGUUAUAAUUUGAUGAGAAUUGGGGUUAAGUUGGGUUUGCAUCUGAAUUUUGAGGAUGAAUAAGGUCAAAGAGGUAUUAAUUACUUCGGAUUUAUCAGAAUUUUAUGCUAUAAGUACAUCGAAUUUUAUGUAUAAUUUCUUUACUCCUAAACUAUAUUGUCCUCUUUUGCGAUAUGAAUAAUGUGGUGUGUUCGAGUUAUAAUAGGGUUUGAGAAUCGAAACCUAUAAUGUUCCCUCUUAAUUUGCAUACUUAUGUGAAGGUUUUAUCUCAACCAGGGGGCUGGAAGUGUCUGGGAUUUUCUUCAAUAUUUAAGAACUUGUCUUUGGUCCUUUGCUUUCAAGAAUAACUAUUUUUCAUACUGGACUGGACUUUGUAAAAUGAAGAGUAUAUAUAUAACUGAACAAAUUAUUGCAAGGUUAGGGGAUGAUCGGUCUGAAGGCAGGAGUUGCAGGGGCUGAUGGGUUAGAUAUGGGUUGUUUUUUGGAUUGUAGAGUUAGGGUCAGGGUUGGGGUGCUGGUCUGGUCUGAAGUCUUGGUCACGUAUGAUGGGUCCGAAGGCAGGGGUUGCAGGGGCUGAAAUAUCUUCAGUGUAUGUAGCUUUGUUGAUUAUUAACUUUCUUUAUUUUGCUUCCAAGUAAUUUGCAAUUGUUAGGUGUUUUGAGGUUGUUUUUUUUGUGUGCUAGGCUGUUGAUAGUCUUUUCAAGUUUGCUAUUGGUGCCCUUUUCAGCAGCAGAGUUUGACUGCAGGCCUCACUCAGGUAGGCCUCACUCAGAAUUGCAGCCUUGGGCCUUCUGCUAGCUGCUAGUCUGCUACUGAAUGAUCAAAUAAUUGCAGACCUUGUUCGACCAUCUGGGUGGAUUUUGUAUCUUCUAUUUUGCAAUUUUAGGUCUUGUGGAAGGUUAUUGGUGUCAAGUCAAACAUCUCCCAAGUUGGUUUUGACUCAAUCCGUGAGAUGAUAAAUGGACUGGUAAAGCGAUCCUUCUUUAGUUGAUAAACCUGGUCACCAAAAUCUAUCUUGACAUGAGAAACUGCUGUUAAAUAAGCUGUCUCUGUAGAUUCUUUUUGGGUAAUAGUGGGAAGUAGAGGUUAACGUUCUUUAGUUUCAAAAGCUUCAUUGCGCAAAAUUUAAUGGUUUUAUUUGUGUAGAAUGGGCUUUGUGUGCCAUCGUCUAUUGUCAAGUUCAAAUAAGUAGGGAAACUGAAGGGUUACGGUCUGGAGUUCGUUUGAAAUAUGAAGUGGUGUACUGUACAAACAAGAAUUAUUGUAAUUGUCAAGUUCAGUUGUAUGAGUGCCUAAUAAUGUUGUCUGCAGGGGUUCCCUAAUAGUCUCCCCAGUUUACCUCUUUUAGGAAGGAUUCUCUUUUUGGAGUACACUUCCUGAUACUGUAUGAACUGUCAAACCUUACAUUUUUUCCAAAUAAUUUAUUGUCGUUCUAUAUUUGCUUAAUAUUUUUAAUCAAUUCUCCAGGAAUUUAGCGAGUUUGUUUUGUCUGAUAAUUUUAUCCUUUACUUUAUAACUCUAUUUAAGACGCUUAAACAUUCAUAGUUUUUCUCGAACAAGACUAAGGCUAUUAGUCAUUUGCAACUGGUGCACUUUCUCCGCAGCAACUGAUGUGCUUGGGGUAAGUGGUUGAGUUGGGUUCUGAUCUUUAGAUUAACUUGUAUAUGCAUCUUCUAAUGAUCUUCUAGUGUAGUUAUCAUCAGUUCUUGUUCGUGUACUAACUGUGUUAAGGCUGCUAGAACAUUCUUUACGGGACUUCUAAUGAUCUGCUAGAACAUUAUAUUCUUUACAGGGCGUGGACUUCUCUUAAUUUAUUUUUACACUGUAGGAGAAACUAUUACUUACCGUUUUUCUUCUUUAUUUAAGGUGGCCAUUUGAAGAUUAUGGUGGUGGAAGAAAAGAAUCAAGGGAUGCAUGCAUAGCUCCUUCAACUAUGAAGCUCAUAUUCUUGAAGUUAUAGGCUUUGAGUGACCUUCCUUUGUUUUGAAGAUGACUUUUAGAAUAAUAAGUUGGAAUUAUCUAACAGACGUGAUGUUUUGGUAUUAAAUUUUUGUUUUGGAGAUACUAGCUAAUAAAUAGUUUCGAUAAUGUGUAAAUUUAAUUCGAUGAUAUAUAUAAAGUGAGUACGUA
Long non-coding RNA from Spinacia oleracea (spinach), 2212 nucleotides. RefSeq lists it as uncharacterized. The record is from RefSeq and is a predicted model, not a curated record. The transcript has 4 exons. NCBI's taxonomy places the organism in Eukaryota, Viridiplantae, Streptophyta, Magnoliopsida, Caryophyllales, Amaranthaceae.